AUCCAACUGACGUGUCCGAAAUAGGACGAAAUAAGAGACUUGGAU
This 45-nucleotide non-coding RNA is filed under the name Schistosoma margrebowiei. The record is from RNAcentral. Lineage: Eukaryota; Metazoa; Platyhelminthes; Trematoda; Strigeidida; Schistosomatidae.